GGUGAGAGCCCCGUACAGUUGGACACCAAGCCUUUGUAAAGCUCCUUCGACGAGUCGAGUAGUUUGGGAAUGCUGCUCAAAAUGGGAGGUAAAUGCCUUCUAAAGCUAAAUACCGGCCAGAGACCGAUAGCGCACAAGUAGAGUGAUCGAAAGAUGAAAAGCACUUUGAAAAGAGGGUUAAACAGUACGUGAAAUUGUUGAAAGGGAAGCGCUCGUGACCAGACUUGCGCCCGGCGGAUCAUCCGGCCUUCUGGCCGGUGCACUCCGCCGGGCUCAGGCCAGCAUCGGUUUUCCUGGGGGGACAAAAGUGGCGGGAACGUAGCUCCUCCGGGAGUGUUAUAGCCCGCCGCAGCAUACCCCCGGGGGGACCGAGGACCGCGCUUCGGCAAGGAUGCUGGCGUAAUGGUCACCAGCGACCCGUCUUGAAACACGGACCAAGGAGUCAAGCAUUAGGGCGAGUGUUUGGGUGUCAAACCCGCACGCGAAAUGAAAGUGAACGCAGGUGAGAGCUUCGGCGCAUCAUCGACCGAUCCUGAUGUUUUCGGAUGGAUUUGAGUAAGAGCCUUGCCGCUUGGACCCGAAAGAUGGUGAACUAUGCUUGGAUAGGGUGAAGCCAGAGGAAACUCUGGUGGAGGCUCGCAGCGGUUCUG
RNAcentral lists this ribosomal RNA (650 nucleotides) under Myrmecridium sp. RNAcentral's name for it is "partial large subunit ribosomal RNA". It matches the Rfam family "Eukaryotic large subunit ribosomal RNA", at positions 211 to 888 of the family's 3401-position model. The record is from RNAcentral. Lineage: Eukaryota; Fungi; Ascomycota; Sordariomycetes; Myrmecridiales; Myrmecridiaceae.